AGGAAAAGAAACUAACAAGGAUUCCCCUAGUAACUGCGAGUGAAGCGGGAAAAGCUCAAAUUUAAAAUCUGGCGGUCUCUGGCCGUCCGAGUUGUAAUCUAGAGAAGUAAUGCCCGUGCUGGACCGUGUAUAAGUCUCCUGGGAUGGGGCGUCAUAGAGGGUGAGAAUCCCGUCUUUGACACGGACUACCAGUGCAUUGUGGUAUGCUCUCAAAGAGUCGAGUUGUUUGGGAAUGCAGCUCAAAAUGGGUGGUAAAUUCCAUCUAAAGCUAAAUAUUGGCGAGAGACCGAUAGCGAACAAGUACCGUGAGGGAAAGAUGAAAAGAACUUUGGAAAGAGAGUUAAACAGUACGUGAAAUUGCUGAAAGGGAAACGCUUGAAGUCAGUCGCGUUGGCCAGGGAUCAGCCUUGCUUUUGCAUGGUGUACUUUCUGGUUGAUGGGUCAGCAUCAAUUUUGACCGCUGGAAAAAGACCUGGGGAAUGUGGCAGCUUCGGCUGUGUUAUAGCCCCUAGUCGCAUACAGUGGUUGGGAUUGAGGAACUCAGCACGCCGCAAGGCCGGGUUUCGACCACGUUCGUGCUUAGGAUGCUGGCAUAAUGGCUUUAAGCGACCCGUCUUGAAACACGGACCAAGGAGUCUAACAUGCCUGCGAGUAUUUGGGUGGAAAACCCAAGUGCGUAAUGAAAGUGAAAGUUGAGAUCCCUGUCGUGGGGAGCAUCGACGCCCGGACCAGAACUUUUGGGACGGAUCCGCGGUGGAGCAUGUAUGUUGGGACCCGAAAGAUGGUGAACUAUGCCUGAAUAGGGUGAAGCCAGAGGAAACUCUGGUGGAGGCUCGUAGCGAUUCUGACGUGCAAAUCGAUCGUCAAAUUUGGGUAUAGGGGCGAAAGACU
This 891-nucleotide ribosomal RNA is filed under the name Agaricus subrufescens. Its description in RNAcentral is "partial large subunit ribosomal RNA". It matches the Rfam family "Eukaryotic large subunit ribosomal RNA", at positions 54 to 932 of the family's 3401-position model. Lineage: Eukaryota; Fungi; Basidiomycota; Agaricomycetes; Agaricales; Agaricaceae. The record is from RNAcentral.